GAGUCGGAAAAAAAAGAGGGCACCAUUCUUAGUGAGCGCUUUCUUUCGGUCUGUGAAUGCUGAGAACACAUUUGACCAAAAGAAAGAAACACCCAGGAAACUACACUCAUCGAUCCAGGAAUUUCUGUUGUUAUUAUUCUUAUUAAUAUCAUAUUUUCAUGAGCGCCCGCAGCCUAAUGAGCGGCAUCACAGAUGAGAGACUUUUUAAAACUACGACACUUUAGUAUUUUGGAUUGUGUUGACGUUUAAUUAAGUGCAAAUAAGAGUGAAGAUGGCACAGAAGGAGGGGACCGUCGCAGGGGACAACUUGGGGGCCAAAGGCGUCCCCGUCGGCCCCGCGCCGGGGACCGUCGCGGGCGGCGUGGUGGUGGCCGUCCGCGAGAAGAAGGGAACCCUUAGGGCCGCCAUACCCACAAUGCCUUUCCCUCUGGCGGUCGUCUGCCUCUUCCUCAACACCUUCAUACCCGGACUAGGUACCUUCAUCUCAGCUUUCACGGUGCUGUGCGGCGCCCGCAGCGAGCUGGCGGCCCAGCGCGGCGUCUGUUGCGUCUUUUGGCUCAACGUGGCGGCGGCGCUCAUCCAGGUGGCGACGGCCGUCAUCAUGGUGGGCUGGAUCAUGAGCAUCUUCUGGGGCAUGGACAUGGUCAUCCUCGCAAGUCAGUCACAACGCUGACAUUUAUUUGCACAUUCAACUGAAAUUAAACACCAGAUGAAAAGUCAGUUUUGUUCUUUUUGAGUUACAUAGACAGGAACAACGUCUCCUUUUUAUACUGCACUCACUAAAACAAAAAAAUGACAUGGUUCUAAUUAACGUACCAUGCAUUUUAUGAACAGAUUCCAACUCAUCAAAGCAAAAAAUGUGCGUCUAGUGUGUGACGUGUGCUAUUACUUUCACAGCUGAAAUUCUUAGUUCUUAGCGAUUAGGGCUGGGUGAAAAAAAAUGAAAAAUUCGGCUAAGUCGACACAAAAUUUCUGCCGCAAAGAUCCGCCGGGACCGAAAAAAAAGCAAGAAAACGGCCAGAACCCGUGUUUGCGCCGCCGGAACCCAUGUUUCACACAAACAUUUAUUCCAGACCAAUUUUGCCAAAAAGGACAACGGAACAUCUGUACGUGAUUUUUAAGACACCUGUACAUGUGCAAUGUACAUAUAACAUGAUAAGUAUGAGUAAACUGAACAGUAGCUAGCGUUUGACUGAAAAUGGUAAUCGCCAGCACGCUAAUGCUAAUAGCGAAUGCUAACCGUUUAGCAUUUUGCGGUCUAAAACCGAAUUUAUACCAGACACUCAGUACCAACAUGUGCAGUUUUAAGGAUAGUAGUCCAUCCCUUAUAAAUGAGAAUAGAAUGCAUGUUAGUGGUUGAAAAAAAAAAAAAAAAUUCUAGUAAUAGUGGGGUGGGUGAUUAUUAUUCGAUUAUUUGAUCCAUCAUCAAUAGGAGAAUCGAGAAUCUAAAAAGAUUGGCUAGUGACAGCCCUAAUUGCUAGGAUAGGUGGUAACUGUCUGGUUUUGGUUUGUCUUCCCUCUUUUUCUGCUUCUCUCUCUCUCUCUCGUAAUCAGUUGAUGUCACUGCUCCCCUCCCUGAUGAUCAAUCCAUUCUUGUCUUCCUCUGCCUCCGCCUAAUGAGCAUCCUUCCCCUCCUCGCGCACGCUCGCCUGCCGUCUCUACCGCAUCUUUUUUUGCCGUAUCUUUUGCCCUCAUGUUAAUUCCUCCCACGUCGCUUUUUCAUCCACGCUCCCCCCUCCCCCACCCGGGCGUGAUCCGACGAAUGCGGUUUGUGCGUGUGUGAUGUUUCAGCUUGUCAGGUGAUGUUUCAGCCUGUCAUGGUGGUGAUGUUCAAGCACUAACGGUCUCUUUCCUCUCUCCCACGUCUUCUUCCUGAAGUUUCUGACGGCUACAGAGAUCAGGACGUCCCGCAGGACAUCUGAGAGGAUUCGAUGGCGUGGGCUCGGGGGGUGGGGCAACGUUUGGACAGCCCCGCCCCGAAACACGGCCGAGACCUUUUCGCUAUUAGAGGCGUCUAGUCUACCACGUUGGAGUCAAAGAAAGGCUGGGAAUGAGCUGUAAAAAUGUUAGCCAGCUAGCGAGCUAGCCGCGACAUGCUAGCCUUGAGGUUAAACGGAAAAAGGUCCUUACAAAGAAACACAGGUGUACUUCCGUAAAUAUUUAAUCAAUGUUUUUUUUUUUCCUUUUACAUCAUUGUUUCCCAACCUUUAUUGAGCCAAGGCAUACAUUUUCCAUUACAAACAUCUCAUGGCACACCACCCAAAAUUUUACAAAAGUGUAUAUCGUGGUGGCUUGAGGUACAAGCGACCCAACAUUUUUGGCCAAUAUUUCUGCUAGCUUAAUGUUAACAUAGACAGGUUAAUGAAUAGCAUCGACAGUCACAACGAUAUUUUAACACAAAUGGUGCAUCAACACAUGCAUACAGACAAUAUAAGAAUACUCACAGGGAAAUAUUCUUUAUCCUCUGCGAAAAACGACUAGUAAUAGUACUGCAGCUUGUGACAGUCUUGUUCGUUUGUUUGCAUGACUGUGUUAUACUGCCCCCCCUGUGGCCAAGUCACGCACACCAAAAGGAACCGCAAUGGAGGAAUAAUGCACAAACUGUUUCAUUCUUCACAUUCUAUUUAAUUGUUAGUGUCUUUAAAAUGUACAAUAUUCUAAAAUUAUAUUUCAACUAAAAAAAAAACAAACAAAAAACAUUUUGCAAUAUUUUGUGUUGGGUUGUUUGAGGCGGUCGGAACGGAUUAAUGGCAUUGGUCACGAAAGGGUCGUUUUGGCCAUUUCCAAGGAGCCUUCAAAAACAAACUACUACAGAUUUGGUCCAACCGCUACAAAAUACUACACAGAUGGUCAACACCAAGUUGUGAAGAAUUUGAGUAUUUGGCACGGCAGAUAGCUUGACCAAGUUUUACAUACUCAAACAAACAAAACAAGACAAAAAAAAACCAAAAAAAAACACAGAACGUUACAAAGACGUAUCCAACACAUAAAGCAACAAAAAUGAAUUUAAAAAAACUAGGCUGGGAAACUCAAAUGUGGUGCUGUUGUUUUGCUGGUUGAAAAUAUCCCAGUGUUCUUGCAUGCAUUUUUUUUUUUUUACUGUAAACAAACACAAAGUUGUGUAGCUGAAUUCAUAAAUGAAUAAAUCUUGAUAUUAAAACAAUUAAAAUCA
Phyllopteryx taeniolatus (common seadragon) is the source of this 3172-nucleotide RNA transcript. It is a transcript of the gene named stum, mechanosensory transduction mediator homolog, with no coding region annotated. The transcript has 3 exons. The record is from RefSeq and is a predicted model, not a curated record. NCBI's taxonomy places the organism in Eukaryota, Metazoa, Chordata, Actinopteri, Syngnathiformes, Syngnathidae.